RNAcentral lists this ribosomal RNA (201 nucleotides) under uncultured bacterium. Its description in RNAcentral is "partial 16S ribosomal RNA". It matches the Rfam family "Bacterial small subunit ribosomal RNA", at positions 328 to 539 of the family's 1533-position model. The record is from RNAcentral.
ACGCUCGACACCUACGGGAGGUAGCAGUCGGGAAUAUUGCGCAAUGGAGGAAACUCUGACGCAGUGACGCCGCGUGCAGGAAGAAGGUUUUCGGAUUGUAAACUGCUUUAGACAGGGAAGAAAGAAAUGACAGUACCUGUAGAAUAAGCUCCGGCUAACUACGUGCCAACAGCCGCGGUAAUCUGAGCGGGCUGGCAAGGC